GCGGGUAUAGCUCAGGGGUAGAGCAACAGCCUUCCAAGCUGAAGACGCGGGUUCAAUUCCCGCUACCCGCUCCA
RNAcentral lists this transfer RNA (74 nucleotides) under Hyphomicrobiales bacterium. RNAcentral's name for it is "tRNA-Gly". It matches the Rfam family "tRNA". Rfam says of the family: Transfer RNA (tRNA) molecules are approximately 80 nucleotides in length. Their secondary structure includes four short double-helical elements and three loops (D, anti-codon, and T loops). Lineage: Bacteria; Pseudomonadati; Pseudomonadota; Alphaproteobacteria; Hyphomicrobiales. The record is from RNAcentral.